This is an RNA transcript of Lathyrus oleraceus (garden pea), 623 nucleotides long. RefSeq lists it as uncharacterized. NCBI's taxonomy places the organism in Eukaryota, Viridiplantae, Streptophyta, Magnoliopsida, Fabales, Fabaceae. The record is from RefSeq and is a predicted model, not a curated record. The transcript is spliced from 3 exons.
CAAGAUGACCUUCUAGCCCACCUUCAAGCCUUGGAGCAAAAAAUGAAUAUAGAUUUCCAACAUAAAUUACAAAAACAUCUCCAACAACAAAGAACAGAGCUCCAACAACAAAUGCAAAAAGAGAUGCAAGAGGAGAGAGCUCAAAUCCAACAAGGAAUGAAACUCCUACAACAGAUGCAAUUGGAGCUCCGCUCCGAGAGGCCUAAAGAGAUGUUUAUAAAAGAGCAUGUAGAAUCUGUGGGUACGAGCACUAACGGAAGUUGCUCAAAGGUUAUGACUACUGAAGAUUUAACUAAAAAAAUGGAUGCUUCUGAAGAUUACCUCAAAAAGAUUAACAAUCUCAAAAAUUUAGAUAUCUACAUCGCAUGUGUAUCUCCAAGAAUUUCAACAAACUAUUUGGGUUUCUCGAUCCAAAUAGGAUACUAGUUCACACAAAACCGGCCGAAGUUAUUCAAACAUACAUACAAAAUAAGUUGGAUGGAGAGCCAAAAAAAUGUUAUUUAGGACCAUUGCUAAAUAGCAAUCACUGGCAAUUGUUUGUCAUUUGUCCUGAAGAUAAUAUUAUUUUUUGGUUUUGUUCAUUAAACAGAUCUCCUAAGAAAAAUAUUAAGGUCAUAUUGGAG